Molecule: transfer RNA, 71 nt
Filed under: bovine gut metagenome
Rfam family: tRNA
About the family: Transfer RNA (tRNA) molecules are approximately 80 nucleotides in length. Their secondary structure includes four short double-helical elements and three loops (D, anti-codon, and T loops).
Source: RNAcentral
GGGGCAUAGCUCAGUUGGGAGAGCGCCUGAAUGGCAUUCAGGAGGUCAUGGGUUCGAGUCCCACUGUCUCC